Molecule: long non-coding RNA, 690 nt
Organism: Drosophila montana
Lineage: Eukaryota; Metazoa; Arthropoda; Insecta; Diptera; Drosophilidae
Exons: 3
Source: RefSeq, a predicted model, not a curated record
GCGACGCAUGAGAAAUUACAAUCAGCCAUAUAUACACAUACAUUCAUAUGUAUAUACAUACAUAUUUGGCAAUUAUCUUUGCAUACAUAUAAAUGGGUGUGUGUUUUCUUGAGAGUUAUCUUAUGCUUGGUGUGGUUGCUUAUGCGUAAUCUAGCUUUGAGUCGCGCUCACACGAAUUUUUGUUGUUGCUUAUUGUUUCAAUGAAGGAUUUAUCUUGUGAUCAUCUGUCUUUGAUCACCCACCUUUGAAUGGCACCCACUCAAGUUUAUGGUUUACUUGCUCAAGUCUGCGUCCGCGCAACAUAAAUCUGUCUUAUUUAACAGUCGUCUGAAGCUGUUAAAAAUAUUACUUGUACGGAUCGGGAGUAUCGAAUGUCAAUAUUUGAUGAAAAUGCAUUCUGAAGCAUUCUAAACCAAAAUGGCAAUGAUCACAUAAAUCUAGUUUCCAAAUCCAAGUCUGUUCUGAAAACCGAAUUUGUAGACUUGUAACGAGUAUUAAAAGCCCAUGAUCAAAUAGUAAUCAGUAUCGUUGGUACCUAGAUGGCCUCUAUAUCCAUGGAUCAACAGUUAACAAAAUGUGAUUCUAAAUGUUGACCAAAACAGGAAGUGAUUUGGUCCUGAAAUUAAUAUUUUGAUUGUUCUUUCAAUUAAAAGGGAUUUAACGAAUCCCAAAUAUUAUGUCUAUCGAAAA